This 457-nucleotide long non-coding RNA is filed under the name Hordeum vulgare. RNAcentral's name for it is "long non-coding RNA (HVUL_LNC010933)". The record is from RNAcentral. Lineage: Eukaryota; Viridiplantae; Streptophyta; Magnoliopsida; Poales; Poaceae.
CGUGUGGCAUCCGGAGUGGUCUCAGGUUGGCGAAAUCCCUCUUCCUCCCGCACCCCGCGUAGCAGGUAAUCCGCUUCCGACGUCAUUCCUGCACACACGCACACGCACGCACAUUGGACGAAUCCAAAAUUCAGAUUGUGUCGGAAGGUUAAGGGGUCGAUCGACGAGUUCAGCUUCAGCUCCGACCGUCCAGGAGCCUCUCCGACCCCGACUCCCGCCGGCGCCAAACCCUCGGCCUGCUCCAACUUGCUAUAUACACAUAUAAAUAAAAUUGGGCCGACUCCGAGUCUCCGACUCGCAGGGGGGAUCGAUCGAGGAGAGGAGCGUACCGUCGUAUCCGGUUGGCUAGCGCGCCGCCUGGCGCUCGCCCUCGCCCUCGCUCGCCGGCACCACCGGCGAAUUUGGGAAGCUGCCGCCGCAGAGGAAGAGGAACGGGGGGUCACCAAGAAAAAGNNNN